CUGGCGGCGUGCCUAACACAUGCAAGUCGAGCGAGGAGAUCCUUCGGGAUGAUCCUAGCGGCGGACGGGUGAGUAACACGUGGGCAACCUGCCUCAUAGAGAGGAAUAGCCUUCCGAAAGGGAGAUUAAUACCUCAUAACAUUGCAGUUUCGCAUGGAACAGCAAUUAAAGGAGUAAUCCGCUAUGAGAUGGGCCCGCGGCGCAUUAGCUAGUUGGUGAGGUAACGGCUCACCAAGGCGACGAUGCGUAGCCGACCUGAGAGGGUGAUCGGCCACAUUGGGACUGAGACACGGCCCAGACUCCUACGGGAGGCAGCAGUGGGGAAUAUUGCACAAUGGGGGAAACCCUGAUGCAAGCAACGCCGCGUGAGUGAUGACGGCCUUCGGGUUGUAAAGCUCUGUCUUCAGGGACGAUAAUGACGGUACCUGAGGAGGAAGCCACGGCUAACUACGUGCCAGCAGCCGC
This 465-nucleotide ribosomal RNA is filed under the name uncultured bacterium. Its description in RNAcentral is "bacterial SSU rRNA". It matches the Rfam family "Bacterial small subunit ribosomal RNA", at positions 36 to 518 of the family's 1533-position model. The record is from RNAcentral.